UACGUAGGGGGCAAGCGUUGUCCGGAAUCAUUGGGCGUAAAGAGCGUGUAGGCGGCCCGGUAAGUCCGCUGUGAAAGUCCAGGGCUCAACCCUGGGAUGCCGGUGGAUACUGUCGGGCUCGAGUACGGAAGAGGCGAGUGGAAUUCCUGGUGUAGCGGUGAAAUGCGCAGAUAUCAGGAGGAACACCAAUUGCGAAGGCAGCUCGCUGGGACGUUACUGACGCUGAGACGCGAAAGCGUGGGGAGCAAACAGG
This 253-nucleotide ribosomal RNA is filed under the name uncultured bacterium. RNAcentral's name for it is "partial 16S ribosomal RNA". It matches the Rfam family "Bacterial small subunit ribosomal RNA", at positions 524 to 776 of the family's 1533-position model. The record is from RNAcentral.